RNAcentral lists this ribosomal RNA (379 nucleotides) under Bacillus cereus. RNAcentral's name for it is "bacterial SSU rRNA". It matches the Rfam family "Bacterial small subunit ribosomal RNA", at positions 546 to 925 of the family's 1533-position model. Lineage: Bacteria; Bacillati; Bacillota; Bacilli; Caryophanales; Bacillaceae. The record is from RNAcentral.
CGGAUUAUUGGGCGUAAGCGCGCGCAGGUGGUUUCUUAAGUCUGAUGUGAAAGCCCACGGCUCAACCGUGGAGGGUCAUUGGAAACUGGGAGACUUGAGUGCAGAAGAGGAAAGUGGAAUUCCAUGUGUAGCGGUGAAAUGCGUAGAGAUAUGGAGGAACACCAGUGGCGAAGGCGACUUUCUGGUCUGUAACUGACACUGAGGCGCGAAAGCGUGGGGAGCAAACAGGAUUAGAUACCCUGGUAGUCCACGCCGUAAACGAUGAGUGCUAAGUGUUAGAGGGUUUCCGCCCUUUAGUGCUGAAGUUAACGCAUUAAGCACUCCGCCUGGGGAGUACGGCCGCAAGGCUGAAACUCAAAGGAAUUGACGGGGGCCCGCA